AGUGAACGCUGGCGGUAGGCCUAACACAUGCAAGUCGAACGACAGCACAGUAAGAGCUUGCUCUUACGGGUGGCGAGUGGCGGACGGGUGAGGAAUACAUCGGAAUCUACUUUUUCGUGGGGGAUAACGUAGGGAAACUUACGCUAAUACCGCAUACGACCUACGGGUGAAAGCAGGGGAUCUUCGGACCUUGCGCGAUUGAAUGAGCCGAUGUCGGAUUAGCUAGUUGGCGGGGUAAAGGCCCACCAAGGCGACGAUCCGUAGCUGGUCUGAGAGGAUGAUCAGCCACACUGGAACUGAGACACGGUCCAGACUCCUACGGGAGGCAGCAGUGGGGAAUAUUGGACAAUGGGCGCAAGCCUGAUCCAGCCAUACCGCGUGGGUGAAGAAGGCCUUCGGGUUGUAAAGCCCUUUUGUUGGGAAAGAAAAGCAGCAGGUUAAUACCCCGCUGUUCUGACGGUGCCCAAAGAAUAAGCACCGGCUAACUUCGUG
RNAcentral lists this ribosomal RNA (492 nucleotides) under uncultured bacterium. RNAcentral describes it as "partial 16S ribosomal RNA". It matches the Rfam family "Bacterial small subunit ribosomal RNA", at positions 29 to 507 of the family's 1533-position model. The record is from RNAcentral.